UGGGGAAUAUUGCACAAUGGGCGCAAGCCUGAUGCAGCCAUGCCGCGUGUAUGAAGAAGGCCUUCGGGUUGUAAAGCACUUUCAGCGGGGAGGAAGGCGGUGAGGUUAAUAACCUCAUCGAUUGACGUUACCCGCAGAAGAAGCACCGGCUAACUCCGUGCCAGCAGCCGCGGUAAUACGGAGGGUGCAAGCGUUAAUCGGAAUUACUGGGCGUAAAGCGCACGCAGGCGGUCUGUCAAGUCGGAUGUGAAAUCCCCGGGCUCAACCUGGGAACUGCAUCUGAUACUGGCAAGCUUGAGUAUCGUAGAGGGGGGUAGAAUUCCAGGUGUAGCGGUGAAAUGCGUAGAGAUCUGGAGGAAUACCGGUGGCGAAGGCGGCCCCCUGGACAAAGACUGACGCUCAGGUGCGAAAGCGUGGGGAGCAAACAGG
This 429-nucleotide ribosomal RNA is filed under the name Chloroflexota bacterium. RNAcentral describes it as "Chloroflexi bacterium partial 16S ribosomal RNA". It matches the Rfam family "Bacterial small subunit ribosomal RNA", at positions 355 to 776 of the family's 1533-position model. The record is from RNAcentral. Lineage: Bacteria; Bacillati; Chloroflexota.